GUAAAGUACUUUCAGCAGUGAGGAAGGUGGAUAUGUUAAUAGCAUAUUCAUUUGACGUUAGCUGCAGAAGAAAGCACCGGCUAACUCCGUGCCAGCAGCCGCGGUAAUACGGAGGGUGCGAGCGUUAAUCGGAAUUACUGGGCGUAAAGCGCAUGCAGGUGGUUUGUUAAGUUCAGAUGUGAAAGACCCGGGGCGUCAACCUCGGAAUUGCAUUUGAAACUAGGCAAACUAGAGUACUGUAGAGGGGGGUAGGAAGUUUCAGGUGUAGCGGUGAAAUGCGUAGAGAUCUGAAGGAAUACCGGUGGCGAAGGCGGCCCCCUCGGACAGAUACUGACACUCAGAUGCGAAAGCGUGGGGAGCAAACAGGAUUAGAUACCCUGGUAG
RNAcentral lists this ribosomal RNA (384 nucleotides) under uncultured bacterium. RNAcentral describes it as "bacterial SSU rRNA". It matches the Rfam family "Bacterial small subunit ribosomal RNA", at positions 425 to 793 of the family's 1533-position model. The record is from RNAcentral.